CUCAGAUUAUUACCCCUCUCUCCUGCGUCUUCAACUUUUUUUUCUUCUCUACAAUGGCCUUAGAACGCUGUCGUAGCAGAAGCAACUUGCUUUAGACAACAGUUUCU
Long non-coding RNA from Etheostoma spectabile (orangethroat darter), 107 nucleotides. RefSeq lists it as uncharacterized. The transcript is spliced from 3 exons. Lineage: Eukaryota; Metazoa; Chordata; Actinopteri; Perciformes; Percidae. The record is from RefSeq and is a predicted model, not a curated record.